Molecule: ribosomal RNA, 251 nt
Filed under: uncultured bacterium
Lineage: Bacteria
Description: partial 16S ribosomal RNA
Rfam family: Bacterial small subunit ribosomal RNA
Source: RNAcentral
UACGGAGGAUGCGAGCGUUAUCCGGAUUUAUUGGGUUUAAAGGGUGCGCAGGCGGAAGAUCAAGUCAGCGGUAAAAUUGAGAGGCUCAACCUCUUCGAGCCGUUGAAACUGGUUUUCUUGAGUGAGCGAGAAGUAUGCGGAAUGCGUGGUGUAGCGGUGAAAUGCAUAGAUAUCACGCAGAACUCCGAUUGCGAAGGCAGCAUACCGGCGCUCAACUGACGCUCAUGCACGAAAGUGUGGGUAUCGAACAG